Molecule: long non-coding RNA, 447 nt
Organism: Uranotaenia lowii
Lineage: Eukaryota; Metazoa; Arthropoda; Insecta; Diptera; Culicidae
Exons: 3
Source: RefSeq, a predicted model, not a curated record
UGCAUGUGCAUACGGUAUUUCGUUUGGCACCAACUAAGGAAAGUGACGAGCUUGCAGAUGGAUAAAUUAUCUGACUCUACUCGAUUGAAGAGGAUUCGGCCUGAUUUCCCGCUACAAGAUGGUUUAUGCUUGGAUUGGCUUCCCACUAAUUGGAUGUCGGGAGAUCGGUUAUGCGCCUGACUGUGCAGGGUGUCAUAGGACCGGUCAUCGACGACAUCGAUUUCAUUACCGACGAUAGGACGGAUAUCAAAUUUGGACCAAAAAUCGAUGCCCAGGAUGCACGCACGAUUCAGAUCCGGUGCGAUGAUGACUGGUGAAAGCGUAGGGCACGUUCACUCAACUGUCGCUUACCUAACGGAUCGAUCCUACGGAUGGUUAGCUCGUAAUCCAGCUCGUCGACUGUGAGAUGAGCACAGUUCAUCCCAUAGUACAGGACAUACAAGUGGG